UACGUAGGGUGCGAGCGUUGUCCGGAAUUAUUGGGCGUAAAGAGCUUGUAGGCGGUUUGUCGCGUCUGCUGUGAAAAUCCGGGGCUCAACCCCGGACUGCAGUGGGUACGGGCAGACUAGAGUGUGGUAGGGGAGACUGGAAUUCCUGGUGUAGCGGUGGAAUGCGCAGAUAUCAGGAGGACACCGAUGGCGAAGGCAGGACUCUGGC
Molecule: ribosomal RNA, 208 nt
Filed under: uncultured bacterium
Lineage: Bacteria
Description: partial 16S ribosomal RNA
Rfam family: Bacterial small subunit ribosomal RNA
Source: RNAcentral